GGAAGGGCCACCCGAACCGGUGACGGGACCCGCCUGGAGAGCGGGCGAGCGCUGAGCCUUGCGGGUUCGACUCCCGCCCCUUCCG
This 85-nucleotide transfer RNA is filed under the name Planctomycetaceae bacterium. RNAcentral's name for it is "tRNA-Ser". It matches the Rfam family "tRNA". Rfam says of the family: Transfer RNA (tRNA) molecules are approximately 80 nucleotides in length. Their secondary structure includes four short double-helical elements and three loops (D, anti-codon, and T loops). Further hydrogen bonds mediate the characteristic L-shaped molecular structure. tRNAs have two regions of fundamental functional importance: the anti-codon, which is responsible for specific mRNA codon recognition, and the 3' end, to which the tRNAs corresponding amino acid is attached (by aminoacyl-tRNA synthetases). tRNAs cope with the degeneracy of the genetic code in two manners: having more than one tRNA (with a specific anti-codon) for a particular amino acid; and 'wobble' base-pairing, i.e. permitting non-standard base-pairing at the 3rd anti-codon position. The record is from RNAcentral. Lineage: Bacteria; Pseudomonadati; Planctomycetota; Planctomycetia; Planctomycetales; Planctomycetaceae.